RNAcentral lists this ribosomal RNA (1393 nucleotides) under uncultured bacterium. Its description in RNAcentral is "16S ribosomal RNA". It matches the Rfam family "Bacterial small subunit ribosomal RNA". The record is from RNAcentral.
AGAGUUUGAUCCUGGCUCAGGAUGAACGCUAGCUACAGGCUUAACACAUGCAAGUCGAGGGGCAGCACUAGGUAGCAAUACUGAGGUGGCGACCGGCGCACGGGUGCGUAACGCGUAUCCAACCUUCCCGUUACUCUUGGAUAGCCUUCCGAAAGGGAGAUUAAUACAAGAUGGUGUUUCAAUUUCGCAUGUAAAUGAAACUAAAGAUUUAUCGGUAACGGAUGGGGAUGCGUGACAUUAGAUAGAUGGCGGGAUAACGGCCCACCAUGUCUACGAUGUCUAGGGGUUCUGAGAGGAAGGUCCCCCACACUGGAACUGAGACACGGUCCAGACUCCUACGGGAGGCAGCAGUGAGGAAUAUUGGUCAAUGGUCGGAAGACUGAACCAGCCAAGUAGCGUGAAGGAUGAAGGUUCUAUGGAUUGUAAACUUCUUUUAUACGGGAAUAAAGCCCACUACGUGUAGUGGUUUGUAUGUACCGUAUGAAUAAGCAUCGGCUAACUCCGUGCCAGCAGCCGCGGUAAUACGGAGGAUGCGAGCGUUAUCCGGAUUUAUUGGGUUUAAAGGGAGCGUAGACGGGAGAUUAAGUCAGUUGUGAAAGGCUGCGGCUCAACCGCAGCACUGCAGUUGAUACUGGUUUCCUUGAGUGCGGUUGAGGUAUGUGGAAUUCGUGGUGUAGCGGUGAAAUGCUUAGAUAUCACGAAGAACUCCGAUUGCGAAGGCAGCAUACUAAGCCGCUACUGACGUUGAUGCUCGAAAGUGUGGGUAUCAAACAGGAUUAGAUACCCUGGUAGUCCACACGGUAAACGAUGAAUACUCGCUGUUGGCGAUAUAAUGUCAGCGGCCAAGCGAAAGCAUUAAGUAUUCCACCUGGGGAGUACGCCGGCAACGGUGAAACUCAAAGGAAUUGACGGGGGCCCGCACAAGCGGAGGAACAUGUGGUUUAAUUCGAUGAUACGCGAGGAACCUUACCCGGGCUUGAAAGUUAGUGAAUGAGCUGGAAACAGUUCAGUCCUUCGGGACACGAAACUAGGUGCUGCAUGGUUGUCGUCAGCUCGUGCCGUGAGGUGUCGGCUUAAGUGCCAUAACGAGCGCAACCCUUGCUGUUAGUUGCCAUCAGGUUAAGCUGGGAACUCUAACAGGACUGCUACUGUAAGGUAGAGGAAGGUGGGGAUGACGUCAAAUCAGCACGGCCCUUACGUCCGGGGCGACACACGUGUUACAAUGGUCGGUACAGAGGGUUGCUACCUGGCGACAGGAUGCUAAUCUCAUAAAACCGAUCUCAGUUCGGAUCGGAGUCUGCAACUCGACUCCGUGAAGCUGGAUUCGCUAGUAAUCGCGCAUCAGCCAUGGCGCGGUGAAUACGUUCCCGGGCCUUGUACUCACCGCCCGUCA